This 1088-nucleotide long non-coding RNA is filed under the name Anas platyrhynchos platyrhynchos (common mallard). RNAcentral's name for it is "lncRNA (ENSAPLG00000020343.1)". Lineage: Eukaryota; Metazoa; Chordata; Aves; Anseriformes; Anatidae. The record is from RNAcentral.
CCUUUUCUUUCAAUAGCUUUAGGCCAGAUUUCCUUCUUCCGAGUAAUUGAUUCUAACACGUAAUCGUAAAACAGAAGAUAAUAAAUUAUCGAGACCUGAUUUUUCUGUUCAGGCUGGUCUCUUUUAAUUACCGUGUGCAGUCUGAAAAUACGGGACUAUCGGGGCAGGGGGGUCGUUUGAAGAAAUCUCCAAACAGGCUGUGCAUGGAGUAGGGCUUCACAUUUCCCUUACACCUCGGAAAAUUUCCCCUUCCCUUUCGGUCUGAAAGCAGCAAGCAGCCCUAAACACCUCUCUCAAUCUAGACACUUGGCUACCCUAACACAGCUGGGUAGUCUCAGGAACCCACUGGUCAAAAUCAAUGCCUUGCAAUCAAAAUUUUCCUUCCAGUCUGCAGAAUGGAGGUAGCAGUUGAAGCAUUUCUGCAGUCCUGGCAAGGAAGCACUGGCUUUCUUAGGUCUCGGUUCUCGAUCCCUCACCCGCAGGCAGUAUGGGCAACGCCAUGCUCCAGGCGUAUUUGUGGACACCAUGGAAGAAAGGGUAUGAGCGAUGGAGACAACAGCUUAGAAGCUCCAACGACGCAACGCGCCUACAGUCUGCUGCAUGGGAGAUGCCGUGAGGCAGCGACGAAGCCACUACGGUCCCUCGGGAAGCCACAGCUGAGGAUGACAGUGAGCUCCUUCUCAGAAGCUGCUUCCCUCACCCUCCCAGCACUGUGGUGUUUGCCAUCACCCUUCUCAACCGCCAGGUUCCUGCUCCCACUCAGAGGCCACGCAACGUCUCCAAUUAUUACUGUUUUGAAGGUGGUUCGUGUGGUGCACGCGCCGAGGAUGUGGUGGGGCCUCCUGGCUUCGCCUGACGUGGCGCGCGGUAGGAAGGGCCACGCUCACAGUCAUGCUCAAGCUGAGGGAGGAGGAAGGAGCUGGCCAGGAGGUCUGUCCUGUCAGGGGAGGCAUCUGCAGUGUGAACAGGGAAAAAAGCCAGCAGGGGCAGGGGGAAAUCAGCUGCCAGCUCCUUUGAAGAUCCCUGCAACUGAAGGGAGGAUCGGAUUGCCGGCUGACUUCUCCCUUCCCAAAACAUCCUGCCCCUAA